CGAAGGGCAGAAAAGCCCCUUGCCCUUCCAAGGCCCUGCCCUGAAUGUCCAAGCACCCAGCUUGCUUCUAAUUCAACACUUGACAAGUUGGUGCGGGACACUCGCUGCGUCAGGCAGGGGGAGCCGGGGGCAGGGGUGCAGAGGGACGAGGCAGCGUGGCCCUUACCCCUUGGAGGGGGACAGAUAAGUACAAGGGCAGCUGGGACACUGCAGGAAAACACAGAAUAUGUACCCCAAACUAUACAGCCGCAGAAGUGGAGACCAGGGACUCACGGCCAGGGACUCCCAGGCUCCCUGGGGAGGGGGGCACACGGAGAUGGCUGAGACAGCCCCCCUCCCUCCAGGCCCGCCCUCUGCUCCUACCGGGAACAGGAUGCUCCCGGAGCCCACCUGCACUACGGGAGGGUGGAGGCCCGCAGCCCUGAGGGCGGCUACAGGCAGGUGUAAUUUCAUCGGGAGCCUUCACUGCAAGUCACCAGAAUCGGAGGAUGAAAUUCCAGCUCUGCGGACAGAAAGGGGCUGGGCUUUGUGAAUGCAGACACUGGUUGAGCUCCUUGGACGGCACCCUUGAGACCUGGGCCUUUCACCAGCUAUUCCUCACCCCUCGACAAUACAUAUGGUAACAUGUGAGGUGAGGCCUUCCUAUGUGCCAGCCUGGGGCUGGAUGCCAGGAACUGAGACAUAUGCUUCUGCAAGUUUCUCACCAGCCUGCGGAGGGACCAAUGAAUGGAUGGACAGAUACACACACACCAUAUGGUAGUAGUGAGACAGUCAUUUUCUAGGCAGGUUGAUGAGAAGUCUAGGGGUC
Long non-coding RNA from Odocoileus virginianus texanus, 808 nucleotides. RefSeq lists it as uncharacterized. NCBI's taxonomy places the organism in Eukaryota, Metazoa, Chordata, Mammalia, Artiodactyla, Cervidae. The record is from RefSeq and is a predicted model, not a curated record.